UACGUAGGGUGCAAGCGUUGUCCGGAAUUAUUGGGCGUAAAGAGCUCGUAGGCGGUUUGUUGCGUCGGCUGUGAAAUCCCGAGGCUCAACCUCGGGUCUGCAGUCGAUACGAGCAAACUAGAGUGUUGCAGGGGAGACUGGAAUUCCUGGUGUAGCGGUGAAAUGCGCAGAUAUCAGGAGGAACACCGGUGGCGAAGGCGGGUCUCUGGGAAACAACUGACGCUGAGGAGCGAAAGCGUGGGGAGCAAACGGG
RNAcentral lists this ribosomal RNA (253 nucleotides) under uncultured bacterium. RNAcentral describes it as "partial 16S ribosomal RNA". It matches the Rfam family "Bacterial small subunit ribosomal RNA", at positions 524 to 776 of the family's 1533-position model. The record is from RNAcentral.